This 439-nucleotide long non-coding RNA is filed under the name Elaeis guineensis (African oil palm). RNAcentral's name for it is "long non-coding RNA (EGUI_LNC034678)". Lineage: Eukaryota; Viridiplantae; Streptophyta; Magnoliopsida; Arecales; Arecaceae. The record is from RNAcentral.
GCGCGGAAGAAUCUUCUAGAAGUUAGUCGAUCUAUUCAUUCAGCGCUCCGUGAAAGGUAAGUAAUGAAUCAUCUUCUCGAGAUAUUCCAUAUUUAUUCUGAAAAUAAAUAAUUAUUCUCUGAAAUUAUGCAUGAUUUAUGAAAUUAUGUUUUUAAAGAAAAGUGCUUUUGAAAUGUUAUGGUAUAUCAAUUUAUGCACAUAUUUAGUGAAAGAUUAUGAUAUAUAUUGUGGUACAAAGUGUUUUGAUAUAGAUCAGAUUUAUGCUCUCGGUCUAACUAUGUUUCAGUGGGCCCCACCAAUGGGGAUUAUACGUUGGUAUUUGUGGACCCUGCCAGUGGGGGUUGUGCGCUGGUGUUUGUGAAUCCUGUCAGUGGGGGUUGUGCGCUGGUAUUUGUGGACCCUGCCAGUGGGGGUUGUGCGCUGGUAUUCUGUGGACCCC